Molecule: transfer RNA, 67 nt
Filed under: Curculionidae sp. BMNH 1039870
Lineage: Eukaryota; Metazoa; Arthropoda; Insecta; Coleoptera; Curculionidae
Also listed under: 2 other names
Description: tRNA-Gln
Source: RNAcentral
UAUAUUUUAGUAUAAUGUACAUAGAAUUUUGAUUUCUAAGGUGAUAGAUUAUUUCUAUUAAAUAUAA